RNAcentral lists this transfer RNA (71 nucleotides) under Sphaerodactylus townsendi. RNAcentral describes it as "tRNA-Glu". Lineage: Eukaryota; Metazoa; Chordata; Lepidosauria; Squamata; Sphaerodactylidae. The record is from RNAcentral.
GGACUGUGGCUCAGUGGCAGAGCCUCUGCAGUUCAUGCAGAAAGUCCCAGGUUCAAUCCCUAGAAUCUCCA